CUUGAAUGUAUUGUGAUGAUAUAUAUGUGCAUUGACUUUUAAUAUUUUCCAGGGACCUCAUACAGGCCAGUCAGGGUCGUCGGGCCGGAUGUGGCCCGCGGGCCGUAGGAUGCCCAGCCUUAGAUCCUCGGGUGGGUCCCUCCUGGUCAUUCCAAAGUCUAGGCUUAAAUCCAAGGACGACCAGGCCUUCUCCAUCAGGACCCCUUGGCUUUGGAACGACCUGCGUGAGGAGAUAAGCCUGGCAGAAUCAGAUUGUGUGAGGAAGCCAGGGAACCCGGAGAAAACCCACACAUGCACAGGGAGAACAUGCAAACUCCAUGCAGAAAGAUCCCAGGAAGGCCGGGACAUAAACCGGGGAUCUUCUACCACCAUGCCACUGUGUAUUCAUGUUAAAAUGUCUAACAUUACAGCAGAAAUAAAC
Molecule: long non-coding RNA, 421 nt
Organism: Amphiprion ocellaris (clown anemonefish)
Lineage: Eukaryota; Metazoa; Chordata; Actinopteri; Pomacentridae
Source: Ensembl